UGGGAAAUUCAAUACAAUAACAAUAAUAUCUCAACAAGAGCAAUACGCAGCGGAUAACAAUUUCCCAACUUGCAAGAAUCUGUGAGGAGCAAUAUCAAAUAAUGGCAGCAACACAAAACACACUUCAAGAAGACACAAGAAUUUUAACGUGGAAAACCUUCUCAAUGUGAGAAGUAAAAACCACGGGCACAAGCCAGUCAAUCAAGGUUCCACUAUGAUCAAAAAAUAUGGUUACAAGAGACUCAAAUCACAGCACAAUUUGUGCUCAAUGACCAGCCAAAUACCAAUACAACAGAGAUGAAAACAGAGAACAAGGAACCUGAAAAAUUCACAAACUGCAGUUACCGUACACGGCCUAUAUGUCACUAUUCCAGUGACUUUUGAACAAUCCGAACGGUCAAACUGAAGAACCACAAGGUAUGAACCUGCUGACGAAAUUUCAACCCGAUCCAACGGUGGACGAAACUGCAGCAGCAAUCUGAAAAUUCCCGUUCUCAAAAGAAACGCUGAAAAACGCUGCUGCAGUGUGAGAUA
Molecule: long non-coding RNA, 534 nt
Filed under: Phaseolus vulgaris (common bean)
Lineage: Eukaryota; Viridiplantae; Streptophyta; Magnoliopsida; Fabales; Fabaceae
Description: long non-coding RNA (PVUL_LNC000144)
Source: RNAcentral